Molecule: ribosomal RNA, 435 nt
Filed under: uncultured bacterium
Lineage: Bacteria
Description: partial 16S ribosomal RNA
Rfam family: Bacterial small subunit ribosomal RNA
Source: RNAcentral
GAUGAACGCUGGCGGUAUGCUUAACACAUGCAAGUCGAACGGACUCUUCGGAGUUAGUGGCGGACGGGUGAGUAACGCGUGAGAAUCUGGCUUUGGGUUCGGGACAACCACUGGAAACGGUGGCUAAUACCGGAUGUGCCGAGAGGUAAAAGAGAAGUUGCCUGAAGAUGAGCUCGCGUCUGAUUAGCUAGUUGGUGAGGUAAAGGCUCACCAAGGCAGCGAUCAGUAGCUGGUCUGAGAGGAUGACCAGCCACACUGGGACUGAGACACGGCCCAGACUCCUACGGGAGGCAGCAGUGGGGAAUUUUCCGCAAUGGGCGGAAGCCUGACGGAGCAAUACCGCGUGAGGGAAGAAGGCUCUUGGGUUGUAAACCUCUUUUCUUAGGGAAGAACAAAAUGACGGUACCUAAGGAAUCAGCAUCGGCUAACUCCGUG